Molecule: transfer RNA, 71 nt
Filed under: chicken gut metagenome
Rfam family: tRNA
About the family: Transfer RNA (tRNA) molecules are approximately 80 nucleotides in length.
Source: RNAcentral
CCGAUGUAGCUCAGUUGGUCAGAGCAGCUGAUUUGUAAUCAGCAGGUCGUGGGUUCGACUCCCUCCAUCGG